Long non-coding RNA from Ictalurus punctatus (channel catfish), 849 nucleotides. NCBI's taxonomy places the organism in Eukaryota, Metazoa, Chordata, Actinopteri, Siluriformes, Ictaluridae. The record is from Ensembl.
GUUGGGGUUAAGGAUUAGGGUUAGGGAUUAGGGUUGGCGGUUAUGGUUGGGGUUUAGGGUUAGGUUUAGGGAUCGGGAUUAUGGUUAGGGAUUAGGGGUAAGGUUUAGGUAGUAGGGUAGGGUUUUAGGAGGGUGAGGUUUAGGGAUUAAGGUUAGCGGUUAUGGUUGGGGUUUAGGGUUAGGUUUAGGGAUCGGGAUUAUGGUUAGGGAUUAGGGGUAAGGUUUUGGUAGUAGGGUACUGUUUUAGGAGGGUGAGGUUUAGGGAUUAAGGUUAGCGGUUAUGGUUGGGGUUUAGGGUUAGGUUUAGGGAUCGGGAUUAUGGUUAGGGAUUAGGAGUUAGGUUUAGGGAAUAGGGUAGGGUUUUAGGAGGGUAAGGUUUAGGGGUUAGGGAUUAGGGUUAGGGUUAGAGCUGGCAGCAAUGGCAGCAUGGUGUGUGAAUUCUGGCUCUGACAGUUCCUCAACCUCGACUACAUCAUUUGAGUUAAAGAUGGACUGUUUUUGAAUCCCGCAGUUAUUAUUUUUGUUUGUCCCUGCCUGAGAGAGUUUUUUUUGUAAUGGAUUUUGUUGGUUCUAUUAUCCAAAGUAUAAGCAAACUAGUAGCCUAAUUUAAACUAGCAUGACCCUGACCAGGCGUUCACUAAGGAUGAAUGAAAUGCAUUGCACAACGCCACACAUUCAUUUUAAUGAGCACGGACUUGAUUUUUUGCCGUGAGGGUAUAUCAUACCUGACAGCUUGGCUUUGUGUUGCAUCCUGCAGGAUCCCAGUCCUGAUACACACCUCUACUAGUCUCAACUCUGUGAAACUUUCUGGCAAGCUUUAAAACAUAAAAAUGAAGAAAAAAUACUCUG